UGAGGAAUAUUGGGCAAUGCCCGCAAGGGUGACCCAGCAACGCCGCGUGGAGGAUGAAGGUCGUAAGAUUGUAAACUCCUGUUAGAGGGGAAGAAUAACUAAGUUUGGAGCUUAGUAUGACUGUACCCUCAGAGAAAGCCCCGGCUAACUACGUGCCAGCAGCCGCGGUAAUACGUAGGGGGCAAGCGUUGUCCGGAUUUACUGGGUGUAAAGGGCGCGCAGGCGGAAUGGAAAGUCAGUGGUGAAAUCCUACAGCUUAACUGUAGAACUGCCUUUGAUACUUUCAUUCUUGAGUUCGGGAGAGAGAGACGGAAUUCCAGGUGUAGUGGUGAAAUACGUAGAUAUCUGGAAGAACACCAGUUGCGAAGGCGGUCUCUUGGUCCGAUACUGACGCUGAGGCGC
This 402-nucleotide ribosomal RNA is filed under the name uncultured bacterium. Its description in RNAcentral is "bacterial SSU rRNA". It matches the Rfam family "Bacterial small subunit ribosomal RNA", at positions 355 to 754 of the family's 1533-position model. The record is from RNAcentral.